RNAcentral lists this ribosomal RNA (253 nucleotides) under uncultured bacterium. RNAcentral's name for it is "partial 16S ribosomal RNA". It matches the Rfam family "Bacterial small subunit ribosomal RNA", at positions 524 to 776 of the family's 1533-position model. The record is from RNAcentral.
UACGUAGGGGGCAAGCGUUGUCCGGAUUUAUUGGGCGUAAAGAGCGUGUAGGCGGUUGGGUAGGUCCGUUGUGAAAACUCGAGGCUCAACCUCGAGACGCCGAUGGAAACCCCCCAGCUAGAGUCCGGAAGAGGAGAGUGGAAUUCCUGGUGUAGCGGUGAAAUGCGCAGAUAUCGGGAAGAACACCCGUGGCGAAGGCGGCUCUCUGGGACGGUACUGACGCUGAGACGCGAAAGCGUGGGGAGCGAACAGG